GGCAACAUGGCCGAGCGGUCUAAGGCGCUGGAAUCAGGUAUUAGGACCUUCGGUUCUGAGACAUAUCCAGUCCGAAAGGGCGUGGGUUCGAAUCCCACUGUUGUCA
This is a non-coding RNA of Gloeopeniophorella convolvens, 106 nucleotides long. NCBI's taxonomy places the organism in Eukaryota, Fungi, Basidiomycota, Agaricomycetes, Russulales. The record is from the annotation of a GenBank genome assembly.